Molecule: transfer RNA, 66 nt
Filed under: Gehyra nana
Lineage: Eukaryota; Metazoa; Chordata; Lepidosauria; Squamata; Gekkonidae
Description: tRNA-Trp
Source: RNAcentral
AGAAACUUAGGAUAAAAAAACCAGGGGCCUUCAAAGCCCCAAACAAGAGGAUACUCUUAGCUUCUG